UACGUGAGGGGCUAACGUUGUUCGGUGUCACUGGGCUUAAAGGGUGCGUAGGUGGUUGCGUAAGUAACGUGUGAAAUCCCUCGGCUUACCCGGGGAAUUGCAUGUUAUACUGCGUGGCUUGAGGACUAAAGGGGAAAAGGGAACUCCAGGUGUAGCGGUGAAAUGCGCAGAUAUCUGGGGGAAGGCCGGCGGCGAAGGCGCUUUUCUGGUUAGAUCCUGACACUGAGGCACGAAAGCGUGGGGAGCAAACAGG
RNAcentral lists this ribosomal RNA (253 nucleotides) under uncultured bacterium. Its description in RNAcentral is "partial 16S ribosomal RNA". It matches the Rfam family "Bacterial small subunit ribosomal RNA", at positions 524 to 776 of the family's 1533-position model. The record is from RNAcentral.